RNAcentral lists this unclassified non-coding RNA (457 nucleotides) under Hevea brasiliensis (rubber tree). Lineage: Eukaryota; Viridiplantae; Streptophyta; Magnoliopsida; Malpighiales; Euphorbiaceae. The record is from RNAcentral.
GCAAUGAAAAAGAAAGAUGAUUCAGAUUUAUGUUUAAGAGUUGAUGUGGUAGAUAUGUUGGUUGAAGAAGUGUUUAAAAAGCAACAUCCUGAAGAUCCCUUAAAAGCUUGUUUGGUUCACAACAUCAAAAAGGGGGAUGAGAUUGAAUAAGCUGCAUAAUAUGCUCAAAUUUUAGAAGAAAAUUCACCUUUGCCUAUGGCUAGUGUUGAGAAGAUUGGAGAUUUAAAGCAAGAUGCUACUUCACCACCAAUGCUUGAAAGAAGUGAAGCACCGAAGGUAGAGUUAAAACCUCUUCCAACAAAUCUCAUGUAUGUUUUUCUUGAUCAAAAUUCUACAUAUCAUAUGAUUGUUAGUGCUAAAUUGAAUGAUUGUGAAGUUGAAAAAUUAUUAAGAGUUCUUAGGGAGCAUAGGAGGAUAAUUGGUCAUACCAUUUAUGAUAUUAAAGGAAUACAUCCUU